This 7562-nucleotide long non-coding RNA is filed under the name Malus domestica (apple). RNAcentral describes it as "long non-coding RNA (MDOM_LNC010247)". Lineage: Eukaryota; Viridiplantae; Streptophyta; Magnoliopsida; Rosales; Rosaceae. The record is from RNAcentral.
AUGAAUUGAGAUAUGAUGCAUAUGAAUGUGAAAUGGUGCGGCGGACGCACAGAUGAGUAUCAGGUGAGUAUUUAAUUACUGUUAUGAUGAUGUUGAUAUAUAUUGAGCUCAAAUCCUGCACCAUGGUUUAGUGCUUAUAGUAUUCACCGCAUCGCACGCUCGCCUUGGAUCCAAGUAGAUGCUAGUCGUACAGUCCACGCGGAGUGGGUACGACAGGCCAGUCGCGAGAGUGUUAGUGAGAUUCCGACUGGUGGGUGACCUUAGAUUAUGUGCACAGAUGAUUGAUGAGAAAGCACUAGAGCGUAACUUGUGUGCAGAAGGCCGGACGGGUCACAGAGGUGACUCCGGUAGAGUGAUAGUGAUAGAUUUUGAGCUCUAGGUUCAACCGUACAGGGCUAUUAGAGGGCCUCCGGUUGAUUACUUUCUUGCACCUGAUAUGAUUAUUGUUGAUGCAUUCAUCCAUAUUUAACUGUUGAAUUAGACAUGGCAUGGCAUGUUUGAUAAAGAAAAAUGUUGAAAUAGUAAAAAUGAAGUUUUGAGAAUAUAUAUGUAUAUUUUAUAUUUUACAUUUCUGGGAAAGUAUACAGGUUUUACGGAGAGGGGUUACAACGUUUUGAGAAAUGUUUGGAUUUGGAAAAGAAUUGUUUUACUGACCCACUCAAUUUUGGUUUUGCGCCCCUCCAGGUUCAAGAAUCACAAAGGUGUGGUGACUACGAGGAAUUCGACGGUGUUCUGACAGAUUGGACAAAAAUUAGGACUCACCUUCGGGUGUAUCAACUUAUAAAUUGUAUCUUAAAGCUUCCGUACUGUGCAAAUGGUUACGUCACUCUCACGUGACGGCCAGCAUGCCCUCCUUCGGGAUGGGGUGUGUCAGUUGGUAUCAGAGCAUGGUUGCAAUCUUGGACAUUUUGAGAAGUUCUAGUGAAUUCUGUCAGAACUACACCGCCUCGUAGCAAACCACGUAGUUAGAGGAACUUAGUCUCCCUGAUUUAGCGGUUUAGGGGGAAACUAUUAUUAUGGUGAUUCAGUAUAUUAUCAAAAUGGACAUUUUAAGAUGGGUAAUGAGUUGAACUUGAAUCACCUAAGAGAAAUGAUGAACCUGAGGGAGCGAAGUAACGGUUUAACCAUUUGGAAAAGAUGUUUCAGAUUAUGCAAGUCAAAGGAAUCUUCCUUCUGACAGGGGGUCGAGACGACUACCUGGUUUUUCGGUAAUGAAUUUGCAUCCUGGUGGAAACAGGAAUGUUAAUUGUUGUCACCAGAGGAAUCAGCCGAUUUAAAAUUUUUUAUGGAAAAGUUUAUCCCUCCGGCAUUUAUUGAUGGUAGUAAACAAGAGUUUACAAAUAUGAGACAAUGAAGGUGAUGAUCGAGGGAUAUUAUAGAAAGUUUUUAGACUUGCCUCGUUCCAUCCAGAUAUUGUUGUUAAUUUGGUGGAGGUGUUAUGUUGUUUUAAGCUGGGUGGCAAAAAGGGAAGUGGUAAUUUGGGUGACCACUAUCCAUUGUAUUUCUUACCAAGAGUAUACAAGAUGUUGUUGAGCCUUGAGGACUCUGAGAAUAUGAUCAGCUAGAGUAAAAGAAGAAUAAAGAAAAGAUUGGGAAUUAAAAAAGAAGACGAUAAAGUUAAUGAUUCGUCAUAUCAAGGAUAUAGAAAGAUUCAGAGCUUCAAAAGAAGUGAAGCUAGAGUUAAUUCUUCCAGCAGAGGUUUUAAUGUCGCUGGUCAGAAUAAAAGUGAUGGAUAUACUGGUAAUCCCAGAUAUUUGAGACAAGGUGUCUCGAGUAAAGGAAAUAUACUUUGUGCAGCAGGUACAAAAUUAACACUUUGGGAAGUGUGAAAUUAAUGAAUGUGUUUAUGUGAACAGAGGGGACACAGAAUUGUGAAUCGUCCAUAGAAUCAGUUGUACUCAACAAUUUUCCAUGAUAUCAUAGUGUCGAUUCAGCAGAGUUAUGGACUUAGUAGUUUGGUCGGAUUGACCGUGAGUAUAGAGAGAUUUGAUGAGUUAUAUGUUCAGCUGUACAGACCAUGAGAAGUGGAUUCGACUGACACAUGAGAAAUUGGUGAGUUAUAGGCUCGGCCGUACCGACCACGCGGAGUGGAUCCGGCCGUAUUAUUGAGAUAAUUGUUGAAUCAGCCGUACGGGUCAUUCUAGUUGACUUCGGCUGAUAUAUUUCUUAUUAUGUAUGUUAUUACCUUGAGAGUAGUAAAUAAAUGUAGUUGAGAUGAGUGUAUGUAUUUUGCAUUGAGUGACAAAAUAGUAAUGUUAUAUCUUUGAGAGUGGUUGCCUACUUAUCGAGACAACGAUGAUUUAUCAGUAUUGCGGGCUGCAGACCGUAAUAUUAAUAACUCAUUCGUGGAUUCGUUAAGCAAGCAAACCGGUAGAUUAUUUUAUGUUAGUAUAAUAAAAUAUAUAUUGUAUCAGUUAAUUCUGUUCCAUUAGAUUGGUUGGUUAUAAUUGUGAUAAGACGGAAUGUUACGGGAAACCAGUACUUUCCAUCGAUCUGGAUGACCAGAGAUUACUUUUGUAAGUAUGCAAAAUGGAUUGAGUCAGGCCGUUAUUAAUGCUGUGAGAGCAAAUAGAUUGUUUUCGAAAGGCUGUCAAAAAUACUUAGCUCAUGUGGUACUAAAGGAUGUUGCUCGGAGAAGUGUGAAAAAUGAAAAAGGGGUUAGACUUUUUUUGAUGUCUUCCUUGAAAGUAUACCUGGAUUGCCUUCAGGCAGAGAUAUGAGGUUCACUAUUGAAUUUGUUGCCAGGUAUAAUAAAUCUUAUGAUAGAGAUUGGUUCAUGAUGAGUUAAGUGAAUUGGAAAUUCAGUUGAAAGAAUUGGUUGAUAAAAAAUUUCAUUCAACCUAGUACAACACUUUUAAGGAGCACCAGUUUGUUGGUGAGAAAGAAAAUGGACUUAGAGAUUGUUCAUUGAUUAUAGACAAUGGAAUUGGUAACGAUCGAGAACCGUUAUCCAUGAUAGUGUACUGAUGUUUAGUUGAUAAGCUCAGAGAUGUUUGUGUAAUUUCAAAGAUUGAUUGAGGUCUGGUUAUUACCAAUUGAAGAUUUUGAGCGACAUUGAUCAUAAGAUGGUUUUCUGGAUUUGUUAUGAUCUUUUAUGAGCUUUGGUGAUGCUAUAAGAAAACUCACGUUGUUUUAGGAGUUUAUGGAUGAAGUAUUCCACGAAUGUCAUGAUAAAUUGUUAUCAUUUGUCAUUGACGAUAUUCUGGUACAUUCUGAGCCAGAGCAGAGCAUGUAAACAUAUUAAGUUGGUGAAGCAAAGAUUGGAAGAAUGUCGAUUGUAUGCAAAGUUUAGCAAAUGCGAAUGUUGGAUGAAUCAGGUGGUAUUCUGAGAUUUGUUAUAUACUCUUAAGGUAUUCAAGUGAAUCCUUAAAAGAUAGCAGAAAUUGAGAAUUUGGAACAACCACGAGUCGUAAUUGAGAUUUGGAAUUUCUUAGCUUACCAGGCUAUCUUGGAUGGUUGUGAAAGAUUUUUUUUAGUCAUUGAUUUGUCAUUGAUGAGACUGUUGAGAAAAGAGAUUAUGUAUGAGUGGGAAGGAAAUUGUGAGCAAAGGAUUCAAUAACUGAAGUAUUUCCUCACUCAUGCACGUAUUUUUUGGUAUUCCCAGAGAAAAUAGUGGUAAUCAUAAAUUUUUAGUGAUGUUUCUUGAAUGGUAUUGGAGGCAUGUUGAUGCAAAUGUUAGGGUGAUUGCAUACGUUUCACGAUAAAUGGAAUCUCAUAAGAUGAAUUACCCUACUGGUGAUUUGGAAGUCACGAUUACCAUUCUUGCUGUGAAGUUAUGGAGACAUUAUAUUUUAGUGGGAAUGCAAGAUUUUUUUUUACGAAUCCAAAAAGUCUUCAAUAUCCAUUACUUGGAAGGAUUUUGAUAUGAGGCAGCGAAAGUGAAUUGUAUUGCUUAAUGAACAUGAUUGUACGAUCAGGGUGAUCGUAAAAUUUGUUCUAGCUGAAGCACUUGGUGAGAAGACUACAGUAAGAUUAAUAUCUGGCACGUUUGCCAAGAGUAUCAUUUUGUGGAUUGAAAACCAACGGAAGAAAAAUUAAGAAUGGAAGAUCGAGAAGAAGUUAUACUUGUUAAGUAACAAGUUAGUACAUUUACUCCAGUGUUGAGUAACAACCUUUCCCAGACAGUGCAACACUACUUAUUUGUUUUAUGGAAAAGAGAAUUGGAUUACGGAACUGCUAAGUUUCUUAAGUAUGUUGGUUGUGCAGUUUCCGAAGUAACGCCAUAAGGACCAUGAAAAUGUGUCACGUGAGUCGGUUUUUGAUGACUUGUGAAUGGAAUGUUUCUGGGUAGAGAAAGAUUCGAUCGAGAAAGAGUUUUAGUAGACCCUGAGACUAUGGAUGAGUCUCCUUAAAGUAUUCAGGUGAUUAAGUUAACCUGAAGUAAUCAGGAAAUGGCAAAAGAGAUCAACAGAUGGAUAUGCCACUAAUCAAGUGUAUAAGACAGAUGGUUUUAUAUUUUCGAAGUUUUCACCUUGGAAAAGUGUGAUUCGGUCUGGAUAGGAAGGCGAGUUAAAUCCUAGGUGAACCGAAUUUUAUGUGAUCAUCGAAGGGUUGGUGAAGUUGAAUACAGAUUUAAAUGGCUUCCAGAGUUGUUGUAAGUACAUGAUGUGUUUCAUGAUUCGAUAUUUUGGAAAAUUCACCACGAGCAGAAAUGGCGAGAAUUGGAAAGGAGACAAGAUAAGAUUUAGACACAUCAGACCAUUUUUGAUCACUAAAGGAAUCAAUAAAGUUGCAUACAAGUGGUGAUGUCUUCAGAGUUGGCUAAGGUACUUAAUGUAUUUUGGGUUCGAUACGUUGUCACUAGGUGGUAGAUUCGUCACAUGAGAUUCUGGUGCAACUAUUGAGAAUUAAACUGGAUUUGAUUGAUAAGGAACUAAGGACGAUUUUGGAUUGGAGAAAGGAAGUCCUAAGAAUUAAAACAGUGUAAGUGGUAAAAGUUGUGUGAAGAAAUUAUUCGGUGGAAGAAAUUACGUGGGAGAAGAGAAUCGGAUGAGAGAGAUUUACCCGAAGCUAUUGUUGGAGUAUGGUUGAUUUAGUUGGUUGCUGGAAUUUCGGGGACGAAAUUCUAUAAGGUGGGUAGAUUGUCACAGCCCGUCCCAAAGUUUUACACUCGUGAUUGUAAAUUGACGGAAUUUCCCUUAAACGUGAUUAAGAUAUGUGAAUCAUAUAUUGGUGAAAUAUAUGUUUCUAAGUUAUUUGGAGAUGGAAUUUUAUGAUUUGGGGUUAGGUAGGACCACACACCUCAAAUCCCUCCCUAUUUCCCGUACCCUGUCUCUCUCUCUCCUCCCUCACAAUCUCUCAUUCUCUGUCUCUCUCCCUCUCCUUCGAACUCACACAGACGAGCUCCAAAACCACCCUAAAUCUAUACCAACGACGGAGUUAAGACCACCAUCGAACUCCUGGAGACUCCACGAUCACGUAGACACCAAUUUCAGGUAAGUUUUACUUCGGAAAACCUAGAUUCUAAACUCCCUGUGAAAGUGCACUGUUCAUGAUCUUCGAAUUGACUUUGUUUUAGGACAAUCCAAGCUCACAGUGAGCUUAGUAAGGUUCCAAGGAAGCUCGGAGUGCUUCGUUGGAAGUUUUUGGACGUAAGAACUCGGAGAUCGACAAGUUCAAAGUUUGGCCGGAGCUUUCGAGGCAUUUUCCGGCGAAUCCCCGGCGAGUUAGGAGUCGAGGUAGGUAUCAAUCUCUUCGUCUCGUCAAGUACUACACAACUUUCCUUUUUGUUUCACUCAAAUUUCGUUGAGUAUUGAAGAAGUUAUACUCAUUUGAAAAAUACCCAGUUUCCGGCGACCUCCGAGGCUUUCGAGGCAGUUUCCGGCCAAACCACGGCGAACUAGGUGUUGUGCAAGGUACCAUUUCUUUGUCUCUUCAAGGGCUACAACUUUCGUUUUUGAAUCACUUGAUUUCGUUGAGAAAUGACAAAGUUAUGACAAUUUGAAAAACUGCCCGGAAAACGGCCGCCGGAAAAACCAGUCCGGCGACCCAAGGAAGAAGAAGGUGCUACAGUUAAAAAAAAAAAAAUUAAAUAAAAUUAUUUUAAAAAUAUGUCGACGUCCGUGACGUCGAGUAGAUCACCGUGGUAUAUUCAUAUACCCAAUUUGAGCACCGUAUGAGAAAGUUAUUAAGGAUUGUUGGUUAGGUGUUCGAAUAACGUUUUAUAGUUUUGGUGAAAAUGUGAAUUGACGAUCCGACCGUUGGAUCGUUACCAAACUUUGAUACGUUGUAAUACGUAAUAUUUGAGGAUUAUUGGAACUUACGGAUUGGGAAUCCGAGUUACGGAUCUUCCGGAAUUGGAAUUGUAAGUUCAUAAAAUAAAAUGUUAACCGUCACUUAGUUUUGGAAAUUGACGGAGAUCCGACCGUUGGAUGGUAAUGAAAUUUUAGGAAGUUGUCCUAGAGGUAUAUUGUGGACCUCUGGAAGUUAUGGAUUUAAAAUCUGAGUGGCAGAUCUUCCGGAUCGAACUACGUAGUGACGUAUUUUAUAUAAGUUAUAUAUUCUAUCACUAUGAAUUCUGAGGUUGGAAUUAAUUAUUGUUUUAGGCGCCGAUCGUCAUGACGCCUUGGCGUAUUGUGCUAGGGAGUUGUAGGGCGAACUCCAGGUGAGUGGGCAGUUUUGUUUUCCGUAUACAUAUAUACUUGCCGUUUCCCAGAAAUUGAAAAUGCAUGAAAUUAUGCUUUUAAUGAAAAAUGUAUAAAAGUAUAUGAGAUAUAUUAGUUGAAAUGCCAUGCAUAAAAGUAUAUGAAAAGUAUAUAGAAAUGUGAAUCGAAUUGCCAUGCAUGAAAUGAUAUGAAAAGUAUGAAUUGAGAUAUGAUGCAUAUGUAUGAAUUGGUGCGGCGGACGCACAGAUGAGUAUCAGGUGAGUAUUUAAUUACUGUUAUGAUGAUGUUGAUAUAUAUUGAGCUCAAAUCCUGCACCAUGGUUUAGUGCUUAUAGUAUUCACCGCAUCGCACGCUCGCCUUGGAUCCAAGUAGAUGCUAGUCGUACAGUCCACGCGGAGUGGGUACGACAGGCCAGUCGCGAGAGUGUUAGUGAGAUUCCGACUGGUGGGUGACCUUAGAUUAUGUGCACAGAUGAUUGAUUGAUGAGAAAGCACUAGAGCGUAACUUGUGUGCAGAAGGCCGGACGGGUCACAGAGGUGACUCCGGUAGAGUGAUAGUGAUAGAUUUUGAGCUCUAGGUUCAACCGUACAGGGCUAUUAGAGGGCCUCCGGUUGAUUACUUUUUUUGCACCUGAUAUGAUUAUGUGUUGAUGCAUCCAUAUUUAACUGUUGAAUUAGACAUGGCAUGGCAUGUUUGAUAAAGAAAAAUGUUGAAAUAGUAAAAAUGAAGUUUUGAGAAUAUAUAUGUAUAUUUAUAUUUUACAUUUCUGGGAAAGUAUACAGGUUUUACGGAGAGGGGUUACAACGUUUUGAGAAAUGUUUGGAUUUGGAAAAGAAUUGUUUUACUGACCCACUCAAUUUUGGUUUUGCGCCCCUCCAGGUUCAAGAAUCACAAAGGUGUGGUGACUACGAGGAAUUCGACGGUGUUCUGACAGAUUGGACAAAAAUUAGGACUCAC